UGGGGAAUAUUGGACAAUGGGCGCAAGCCUGAUCCAGCAAUGCCGCGUGGGUGAAGAAGGCCUUCGGGUUGUAAAGCCCUUUUGUACGGGAAGAAAUCCCAUUGGAUAAUACCUGAUGGGGAUGACGGUACCGUAAGAAUAAGCACCGGCUAACUUCGUGCCAGCAGCCGCGGUAAUACGAAGGGUGCAAGCGUUAAUCGGAAUUACUGGGCGUAAAGCGUGCGUAGGCGGUUUGUUAAGUCCGAUGUGAAAGCCCUGGGCUCAACCUGGGAAUGGCACUGGAUACUGGCAGGCUAGAAUGUGGUAGAGGGGUGCGGAAUUUCCGGUGUAGCGGUGAAAUGCGUAGAGAUCGGAAGGAACAUCCGUGGCGAAGGCGGCACCCUGGACCAACAUUGACGCUGAGGCACGAAAGCGUGGGGAGCAAACAGG
RNAcentral lists this ribosomal RNA (429 nucleotides) under uncultured bacterium. Its description in RNAcentral is "bacterial SSU rRNA". It matches the Rfam family "Bacterial small subunit ribosomal RNA", at positions 355 to 776 of the family's 1533-position model. The record is from RNAcentral.